UAAUUGCUUAUAUACCUCUUGCAAGGUUUCUGUUCUUUUUAUUUACCUAUUUUAGAAGGCUAAUAUUAAAGAUAUUUUUCGAACUUUCUAAGUUUGAAUUUUGUUAAUGAACUGUUAGGAAUAACCGUAAUCGCUAAGAUAUUACUACUUUGUCCUUUCAAAUAUGUUCUUCUAUCGUUAUCAACUAUUGUCACUAUUUUUUCUUAUUUGAUAUUUUUAAAUUUAUAUUUAAUCUUAAAUUUAAAAUUUAGAACUUUAAAUUUUUGAAUUUGAAACUUAAAAUUUAAAUUUUAUUUUAAAUUUUUAAAUUUUUAAAUUUUAAAAAUAGAAAAAGGGGUGGAAACCGCUGUUCCCACCCACAGCGAGUUAUCCAGAGAUAAUUAAUUUAAUAUUAAUUAAAUUAAUUAAUAAUUUAAAUAUAUUAAUUAGAUUAAUUAAUGAUUUAAAAUUAUCAAUUAGAGUUUAAUUAAUCUUGUUUUUCAUUAUUCUAAGGAUAAGGGUGGAACAAUAAUUCCAUAUUUAUACCAGGAACUACUAUUCUAGAGUAUGAAAAAUAGCGUUUUGAUAUAAAAGGAGGGAUAAGGAGUUAUUCCACCCUUAUCCCCGAACCAAAUGGUAGCUAAGGGUACUUAAAACGGAAUAAUUUUUGAAUAACGGAAAAAUAUAUGAGAAGUACAUUUGAAACAAAAAAGGUAGGAGUACAUCAGAAAUUUUAGAAGUUUUGGAUGGUAUAUAGGUAAUUAUCCCAACUUUUUUUGCUGAAUAAAAUAAAUCAUUUUGUAAGUGAAGUAUUUAGUAUACUGUUCUAUCUAACCAUACCUCUUAAGAUCUUUUAAGAAAUUAAAAUCAAACUCCUAAAUUUUACUUAUAAAAAAAAUUAUCUCCGUCUUCAUAACUGCAUAUAAAAAUAUACAAAUAUUAUUAUCUAAAAGCUUAAGCUUAUUAGGGAAUAAGGGUUGCUUCAGAUAAUAUAAUAUAGUAUUUGAGGAUUAAGAGCAGAAGAUUCUGAGUUUGAGUCAUAUCUAACUCCUAACGUUAUUUAAUUUAUUCAUAUUUAAUUCAAGUUUGCCUCUUAUUUCUAUUAAAAAGCUUCGAGCUUCGAGUUCAAACAUGUCGGAGAGUGUUGAAUAUAAAAAACACAUAAUAUUUCAAUCCUAUUAUAGAAAAAACACAUCAUAUUUCAGUCCUAUCAUAAGAAACACAAAAGUUAGUUAAAUAAUCUGUUAACUUAGUCCCGAGUUGAGUUCCACCUAUUAAAAAGUCUGGAGCUUAGACCUGAAAGAGAGUACUGAAUAUAAAAAUAUAAAAGGAUAUAUCUAAUAUAUUUUUUUAAAACUUUAAAAAUACCUAAUAUAUUUUUGGUUGAGCAAAAUGACCUCAUUGAUUUUCAAUUUUUUUUUCAAAUAUUUCUAAAAUCCUAUGGUUUACUAAUAGGAUUUGCGGUUUAGAAGGGUAAAUUUAAAAAUUUUGAAUAGCAGCCAGGAGUAUAUAAGCAAAAACCCUAAAUAUAAAAUAUACAUUAUAUUUUAGUCCUGCGGUGGGAAACACUUAUUAAAAGUUAAUUAAGCAGAAUCUGUUUGGAGCGUAAUCACAAUCCAGCUCAACUGAGCCCUAAGUUCAAGUUCUGCGAAACUCCUAGUAUUAUUUAAUUUUCUCUUAUUCGAUUCAAAUUCACGUCUCGUGUAGGGAUGUCAAUGGGUAUGGAUACCCGAAAUUUUAUCCGAACCCGAACCCGAAUGAAACGGAUAUAUUCGAUGGAUAUGGAUAUAGAUUUGGAUAUGGAUAUAAAAAAUAAAAACCCUACGGAUAUGGAUUCGGAUAUAGAUUUUGAUUGUACCCAACCCGAACCCGAAUUUAUUUUGUAUUAUAUAUAAUAUAUAUAUAAAAAUUUGAUGUUAUAUUUGAAUUUGUAUUUUAAAAAUUUAAAUUUAAUAUAACAUAUUUUGAAAUAUUGAAAAAAGAAAUAAUUGUUUCGGGUUCAAAUUUUCGGGUUCGGGUUCGGGUUCGGGUUUCGGAUUUUUGGUCGGGUUCGGGUUUGGAUAUGGAUUUUUAAAAUCCGUCGGAUUCGGGUUCGGGUUU
RNAcentral lists this long non-coding RNA (2079 nucleotides) under Ananas comosus (pineapple). Its description in RNAcentral is "long non-coding RNA (ACOM_LNC020698)". Lineage: Eukaryota; Viridiplantae; Streptophyta; Magnoliopsida; Poales; Bromeliaceae. The record is from RNAcentral.